Molecule: ribosomal RNA, 450 nt
Filed under: uncultured Actinomycetales bacterium
Lineage: Bacteria; Bacillati; Actinomycetota; Actinomycetes; Actinomycetales
Description: bacterial SSU rRNA
Rfam family: Bacterial small subunit ribosomal RNA
Source: RNAcentral
ACGGAAGGCAGCAGUGGGGAAUAUUGGACAAUGGGCGGAAGCCUGAUCCAGCAACGCCGCGUGAGGGAUGACGGCCUUCGGGUUGUAAACCUCUUUCACCAUUGACGAAGUCGCACAGUGUGUGUGGUGACGGUAGGUGGGGAAGAAGCACCGGCCAACUACGUGCCAGCAGCCGCGGUAAUACGUAGGGUGCGAGCGUUGUCCGGAAUUAUUGGGCGUAAAGGGCUCGUAGGCGGUUUGUCGCGUCGGAAGUGAAAACACGGGGCUUAACUCUGUGCUGGCUUUCGAUACGGGCAGACUGGAGGGAUGCAGGGGAGAACGGAAUUCCUGGUGUAGCGGUGAAAUGCGCAGAUAUCAGGAGGAACACCGGUGGCGAAGGCGGUUCUCUGGGCAUUCCCUGACGCUGAGGAGCGAAAGUGUGGGGAGCGAACAGGAUUAGAUACCCUGGUA